Molecule: long non-coding RNA, 527 nt
Organism: Miniopterus natalensis
Lineage: Eukaryota; Metazoa; Chordata; Mammalia; Chiroptera; Miniopteridae
Source: RefSeq, a predicted model, not a curated record
CGUCUCGCCGGUUUGUUUCUUGCUGGGCCGGCUAGGUUUCCGCGUUUCGGGCUCCCUCCUCUCGGUAAUCCAGAACGGGAGGAGCCGUUGACCCCUUUGGCUUGGCCUUUACCCUGCACACCCCUUCGGUCCCCUUUCUCCACGCCAGCCGCCACCAGCACCUCCCUGGAGGACGCGAUGCCCUUUCGGGGCUCUGUGGCUCAGAAGGGCCUCCACACGGUGAGACUUGGCAGAGGAAUGAAGACCAAGAGGUUCUGAUGAGUGGGCGGGGCCCCUCGCAAAGGCCAGAAGGACUGGAAAGGCAAACAGCCGAAGCUCGUUUGCCAUACAGGACUUAACUACCUGGUCACACUAGCUGUCAGAUAACCUGGAAAAUGGAGACAAUUUUGCAGACUGCUGCCUCAAAUAAAAUCAGGCUUCUCAACAAGACAUCUCUAUCAGAGGAUUCAAGCCUGGCCGGGGGUGGCCCAGCGGUUGAGCAUCAACCUAGGAUCCAGGAGAUCACGGUUCGAUUCCCGGUCAGGGCA